UAGGUCUUAGUGAUCCGGCGAUUCCGCAUGGAAGGGUCGUCGCUCAACGGAUAAAAGGUACUCCGGGGAUAACAGGCUUAUCUCCCCCAAGAGUCCAUAUCGACGGGGAGGUUUGGCACCUCGAUGUCGGCUCAUCGCAUCCUGGGGCUGGAGCAGGUCCCAAGGGUUUGGCUGUUCGCCAAUUAAAGCGGUACGUGAGCUGGGUUUAGAACGUCGUGAGACAGUUCGGUCCCUAUCUGCCGUGGGUGUAGGAAUUUUGAGAGGAGCUGUCCUUAGUACGAGAGGACCGGGAUGGACAUACCUCUGGUGGACCAGUCGUCAUGCCAAUGGCGCAGCUGGGUAGCUAUGUAUUGAAUGGAUAACCGCUGAAAGCAUCUAAGCGGGAAACCAGCCUCAAAACAAGAAUUCCCUUGAGAGCCGUGGAAGACCACCACGUUGAUAGGCCGGGUGUGGAAGCACAGCAAUGUGUGAAGCUAACCGGUACUAAUUGCUCGAUUGACUUGAUCGUCCUCAUG
Molecule: ribosomal RNA, 515 nt
Filed under: Hyphococcus sp.
Lineage: Bacteria; Pseudomonadati; Pseudomonadota; Alphaproteobacteria; Parvularculales; Parvularculaceae
Description: partial 23S ribosomal RNA
Rfam family: Bacterial large subunit ribosomal RNA
Source: RNAcentral